This 429-nucleotide ribosomal RNA is filed under the name Chloroflexota bacterium. Its description in RNAcentral is "Chloroflexi bacterium partial 16S ribosomal RNA". It matches the Rfam family "Bacterial small subunit ribosomal RNA", at positions 355 to 776 of the family's 1533-position model. The record is from RNAcentral. Lineage: Bacteria; Bacillati; Chloroflexota.
UGGGGAAUAUUGCACAAUGGGCGCAAGCCUGAUGCAGCCAUGCCGCGUGUAUGAAGAAGGCCUUCGGGUUGUAAAGUACUUUCAGUCGGGAGGAAGGUGGUAAGGUUAAUAACCUUAUCAAUUGACGUUACCGACAGAAGAAGCACCGGCUAACUCCGUGCCAGCAGCCGCGGUAAUACGGAGGGUGCAAGCGUUAAUCGGAAUUACUGGGCGUAAAGCGCACGCAGGCGGUUGAUUGAGUCAGAUGUGAAAUCCCCGGGCUUAACCCGGGAAUUGCAUCUGAUACUGGUCAGCUAGAGUCUUGUAGAGGGGGGUAGAAUUCCCUGUGUAGCGGUGAAAUGCGUAGAGAUGUGGAGGAAUACCGGUGGCGAAGGCGGCCCCCUGGACGAAGACUGACGCUCAGGUGCGAAAGCGUGGGGAGCAAACAGG